This 245-nucleotide long non-coding RNA is filed under the name Salvator merianae (Argentine black and white tegu). Its description in RNAcentral is "lncRNA (ENSSMRG00000006866.1)". The record is from RNAcentral. Lineage: Eukaryota; Metazoa; Chordata; Lepidosauria; Squamata; Teiidae.
GUGAAGAUGGAGAUUGAAUUCACACCUCAUCACAUCUCAUAUAAAGGACAAUGUUUCAAGGACUCGUUUUGAGACACCGAAUCUCCCUGAUAAAGAACCAAAUGAAUUGUGGCUAGAAGCUAAAGAGGUCAUCAAGAAGGAGUCUGGGAGACAGCUAAAGAAGCUGGUGAGGCUUUGGAAACAAACAGCAAAAUAUGGCCCGAGCUAUGAGACUGUAACUCGUGUUACCAAAAUCUACAUGUACA